Daphnia pulicaria is the source of this 1337-nucleotide long non-coding RNA. RefSeq lists it as uncharacterized. The transcript has 6 exons. NCBI's taxonomy places the organism in Eukaryota, Metazoa, Arthropoda, Branchiopoda, Diplostraca, Daphniidae. The record is from RefSeq and is a predicted model, not a curated record.
UUCCCGUUCUAGUUUCGUCGCUUAAAUAUGGACGUUCUAGUGUCGGGUGGGCGUUCUAGUGACGCAUUCGAAAUACAUCUAGCGGCAAAGAAUCAUUCCCCAAGUUCUUAUGUCGCUAAAUCCGUUCUACUGUCGCAGAGAAAUUUAGAGGUUUUCCGUCCUAUUGUCGUUACUUAAAUGUGGACGUUCUAGUGUCGCAGCGGAAUUUAGAGGUUUUUCCGUUCUAAUGUCGUGGCUAAAAUGUGGACGUUCUAGUGUCGGAAGGACGUUCUAGUGUCGCGUUCUAGUGACGCAUUCGAUUAGUCCUUGUGGUUAUUAGUCCCAAUGUCGCUAUCCCGACUAAAAUACUAGUUUCAUCGCCAUCUAUGAUUCACAUUUAAAAACUACUGAUAUGGAACGAUAAGUCUUCGUUACUCAAGCCCGCCGCCAUUUUUUUCGAACACUGAAAGCAUGCUGAAAGCGUAUCAAUAUAUAAUCCGUACGGCGUAUUUUCCUUCCUGACAUUUUUCUUCAUAAAAAUGCUGAUCAUGUGGCCUGAGCAUCUGUACAUUUUGCCAAGAUGUCGUCUCUUUUUCCUGUACCGGCUGUACGUUUUGUAAGAAACACUUCAGAACAAAUCAGUGAUAAACAGUCUGAUAAAGUCUGAGCUUCAUCGUUGCUGCCCAAUCUACACAUGGAUUUGAUGCAGCCAGCUGCCAGCUGGUAAAGGGUGUUCCUCUUGCUACCUGGACUGAUGUGUGCUUCUUCACGAAGAAACAUAUACAACUGAAGUAAUUAUUUCAAUCAACUUUCUAAUUGUCUGGCUGAUUCAAAAAGCUUGCUAACUGACACUGAGAGGUUUAUCGUGUAUGUUCGCGUAGUUCCUGUCCGCUGUGGUACGUUGUUGCAGCCUAUGCUGGUUAUAGAUCUUUCUACAUCAAAUUCAAUUGGCCGUUUGGUGCUGGUGUCGUGUUACCGAAGUUGCAUUAUUAUUUUAUGAAAUUGGCAUUGUGUCAAUGUAGUAUACCGUUAAUAUGUUAAGAAGGAACAAAAAAGAAAUAUGGGGAUGUUUAUUUCAAACAAAUAAUAAACAUGUUUUCGGGAUUGGGAAAGGAAAGAGGAGGAUGUGGAAGGGGGAUAUUUCAAGUUUGGUUAAAAAACAGUUAAUUAAUAUAACCCUGCAAACAUAUCCCUACCAAUUAAUCUCCAAACCCCACAAACUUAUACCUUCUAAUUCUUCUGACCCCACAAACAUUACACCUACCAACCCUCAAAUGUAUACCCUAAACCACAUAAACCAAUGUCUAACCCUAUGUCUGUAAUAAAUAAACAAAUUUUAUACAUCAAACUAGUUUUUA